This 441-nucleotide ribosomal RNA is filed under the name uncultured bacterium. RNAcentral's name for it is "partial 16S ribosomal RNA". It matches the Rfam family "Bacterial small subunit ribosomal RNA", at positions 338 to 795 of the family's 1533-position model. The record is from RNAcentral.
CCUACGGGUGGCAGCAGUGGGGGAUAUUGCACAAUGGGGGGAACCCUGAUGCAGUGACGCCGCGUGGGUGAAGGAGUGCUUCGGCAUGUAAAGCCCUAUCGGCAGGGAAGAAGCAAGACGGUACCUGACUAAGAAGCCCCGGCUAACUACGUGCCAGCAGCCGCGGUAAUACGUAGGGGGCGAGCGUUAUCCGGAUUCACUGGGUGUAAAGGGAGCGUAGACGGCCAUGCAAGCCAGGGGUGAAAGCCCGGGGCCCAACCCCGGGACUGCCCUUGGAACUGCAUGGCUAGAGUGCGGGAGGGGCAGGCGGAAUUCCUGGUGUAGCGGUGAAAUGCGUAGAUAUCAGGAGGAACACCGGCGGCGAAGGCGGCCUGCUGGACUGCGACUGACGUUGAGGCUCGAAAGCGUGGGGAGCGAACAGGAUUAGAUACCCCAGUAGUC